Mesoplodon densirostris (Blainville's beaked whale) is the source of this 1194-nucleotide long non-coding RNA. RefSeq lists it as uncharacterized. NCBI's taxonomy places the organism in Eukaryota, Metazoa, Chordata, Mammalia, Artiodactyla, Ziphiidae. The record is from RefSeq and is a predicted model, not a curated record. The transcript has 3 exons.
GCCAAGGUGCCAACCUUUCGUACCCAGUCCGAGCGCGGGCGCCCGGAUCCAUCUGCCCUGCCACGUGCGCGGGUCUGACCACUCCCACCCAGACACCCAGGAGCGCCGGCCCCCUGCCCCCUCCCCCAUCGCCCGGCCUUUCCCAAACGAACCACAGUAGAAGGACUCGGGGCUUUGGAGUCAGAUUCGCUGGGUUCCAGCUCAGGAUUCUCUACUUUUUAGGUGGGUGGUGUUGGACAAACUCAGAUGCUGGGUUCCAGUUCGCAAAAUGGAGAGCCGCUGAGGUUGCCGCAGCAUUUACUGACCCCGGCAGCGGAUCCUGGCUCGGCCUCCAAACGAUGGUGGGACCUCUCAAAAGACCUCGGUUUUGCAAUGAGAGCGACAGUGCCUGGCCUACCUUCGUGGGGAAGAUGAUGUCAUGAGGGCUAACGAGAUCACAUCCGUGACAACACUGUGGAAUUACAGCUCUCUCCAUCAGCUGACUCCCCACGCUGCUCUCCACCCUCCCUGGCCCUUUCCUGUCGCCCCUCUGUGAUCCCAGGAACAGAGCUGUGGAUGUGAACGGAGCUUGGACGCCCCCACUUCUGGGUGACUUCACUCCACCCCAUAACCUCCAGCUUCUGAGGAACAAGAGGGUUGAAGCUGGACUCACAGAGGAAGGAGGUCACCUCCACCAACACACAGGGAGGCUCCAAGUACAGUACGAAUGGCCCCAAAGCAGAGCCCUUAUAGAAGCAGAGUCACUGAAAUAAAGUGCAAGAGUCAAAUUGCCCAGUUUCCACUGUAAAGAAGCCAGAAAAGCCACAGGCUCCUCAUGUAAGAAAUGGGAAGCACGCAUUGAUAAGCAAACGCACGUAAAGUGUUUAGCAAGGGUUUGCCGUAUACUAAGCAUUCAAUCAGUGGUAGCAAUGUUAAUCAUUUGUAUUAACGAUAAUAACUUCAGUGUCCUAUUUUUUAAAAUUUUUAUUGAAAUAUAGUUGAUUCACAAUGUUGUGUUAGUUUCAGGUGUCCAUGUCCUAGUUUUAAUGUUACAAGGAAUUUUUAGUAGUCUGUGCCAACUGUCGAUGCCAUUACACAUAGCCCGGCACAAAAGGAGCAUUUCUUUCAUUGUUUACGAUAAAUGCCUAUUUACUCAGCAGGUUUAAAGUCUUGAGACACGUGGUAUUCAACUGUUCCAAUAAAAUUGUGUUUAAA